This 72-nucleotide transfer RNA is filed under the name Thermochaetoides thermophila DSM 1495. Its description in RNAcentral is "tRNA-Thr (AGT) (tRNA-Thr-AGT-4-1)". It matches the Rfam family "tRNA". From Rfam's summary of the family: Transfer RNA (tRNA) molecules are approximately 80 nucleotides in length. The record is from RNAcentral. Lineage: Eukaryota; Fungi; Ascomycota; Sordariomycetes; Sordariales; Chaetomiaceae.
GCCCGCAUGGCUCAGUGGUAGAGCGUGACACUAGUAAUGUCAAGGUCGUCAGUUCAAUUCUGGCUGUGGGCA